Molecule: long non-coding RNA, 2916 nt
Organism: Serinus canaria (Common canary)
Lineage: Eukaryota; Metazoa; Chordata; Aves; Passeriformes; Fringillidae
Exons: 3
Source: RefSeq, a predicted model, not a curated record
AAUACAUUUUACAAAGUCAAUGAAGUUUGACAUGAAACAGAUGAGGCACUGAGCAAAAAUAUUUUCCAGUUCUGAAGCUAAGCAUUCAGAGACAUAUUUCCAGUAUUGUAGGAUUUAAUUUUCUUAAUGAUAUCUGUUAGCUCUUCAAGAACUGACAAACUGGCUCCCACUGUUGCCCACUUUAUUUAAGGUUACCUGUCUGUCAAUUGCUUCCAGAGGCACCAGUUCCAGAAGAAUUUGUCAUUUCAACCCACAUUGAGCAAGACUAUGAUUAUCUCUGAAAUGUUAUUUCCAGUGGCUUUUGCAUCUUUCUAGUAAUCUGUACAGAAAGGCACACUACACUUGAUACAUGACUACUAACUAUGGAAGUUUCUAUAAUAAUCCCUACAGAGUAUUCUUCUGUGCAGUGAGAAGCUUCAGGAAGCCCAAGGCAACAGAAAGCAUUUCAUGAGUGGUCUCUGGCACUGCACUGGCUGCCCUCUUGGCUCUGACUGCAAUUACCAGCUACAGCACCCUUGGGAACAGUGUACAGCAAGCUUUUUCAUCCAUUUAUUUUACAAGCUGCUGUUGCCACUGUUCUCCUUGAGGAGUCUUGACAGUUGACUCAAGCUGAUGGCCACACUUCCACAAACUGCUGUAGAGGAACUGCCAAACCUGUUUCUACUGUCUCUAAGAAUCACAACAAAUGAAACUUGACUCCUGCAUACAAACUGAUGGAAGCCAGAUUUGUAGCAUUUCUCAGAACUCUCCUGGAGAGAAUGAGCAUCUCUUCAUUCUGAGUCUCAUCCUGGAUAUUUUCUUUAACAAAAAUUAGAAGUUCUUAAUUACUUUAAAGGAGUAUCUACUAUUUUAUCAAAUUUGUCUCAAAUCAGCCUAUCUGCUCAAAACCUAUUAACAGGGCAUGGGUGCUACGGUUGCACAAAUCUCCUUUCCUUAGUAAACUGGGCCAAAUACCUCUAAGAAGUCAAAUGAAAGUUUAAUCUUUUAGAAAUGACAUUAAAAAAAUAAAUUUUUUUAGACAAUCCUACCAAAUUUAGUAUCAUGUUAAUCCUACUAUUCAAAUGUGCAGGAAUAAACAAGAAAUUAUAUUCUUUACGUGAAUUUUUGACUCUUCCUCUAUGCUUCUACAUGACGAGUAAUUUUCAAUCAAGCUGUUUAGAACACCUGAGAUAUUCCUCAGCAAAUGACUGCCUUGUCUGAGCCCAGUCAAUAUUGACUCCAAUGAGGCAUGCAUCACCACGCAUUCAGAUGCAUUUUGCAUUUUGAUUGAAGAACAAACCACUCCAGGCCAUCAGACACACAUAGGCCAGGAAGGAUGCACGCAUUCUGCUUUGUACUUUGGCAAGGGAACUCUAAACUGGCUAAAUUUUAGUCAAGACCAAAUAUUCAAGAAUCUGGAGAUGAUGGAGAGCCUUGGAAAUAUCAACUCUGUUUUAGAGAUGCUGCUUACAAUUUUGUUUUGUAGGCUUUCUUGAAGAAUACAAAAACUUCUCCUAAAAACACUGUAUGCCCAAAGAAGGGAGCCUGAAAUAAAGAUAAACAAGUUGACUGCUGAAUAUUGAGGCAAAAAGGAAAUAGCUGUGUAGAUAUGAGGCAUGUUGGACAGCAUUAUAAAUAGAAGUCAGUGGAUCACAAAAAAACCCCAAACAAAACAGCACAAUCUUUAUUUUACUAAGGUUUUAAAAAAUAUAUAAUUCUACUAUUUUAAAGUUAUCAUUAACAUGCUACAGAGGAAGUUUCUAAAACUGAAAUAUGUUUAUGUUCUAGAGACUGUUCUUAGUAGAGCCUGGCAAAAAGAAAGCUGUUCAAAGAAAGGCAAUGAUACAAGAGUCAAAUGAAAUAAAGUAUUUAAGAGGGCAAUACUUCUGCUGGUUCCCAAACUCCAUAAAGCAGCAUUAAUGCAAAACCCCAGGACACAACUGGCUAGAUUCCUAAGCAAGAAAAUGUGGAAGUGAUGCCAUCUUUCAUCCAAAAGUCCAGUCACUAAUGCAUUCAUCUGGGAGAAGGCACUAGACAGAGAAGACCCAUGCCUGUUUGAGGAGAUUUUCAGAAGGGAUUUUAAAAUAAACCUCCUUGUUUUGUUUCAUCUAAGUGUACACUGAGCCAGAAUGACUCAAGUCUGAUAUGUAAACCACACAAUGGGGAGAUGGGACAUCCUAGACUUUUAAUCUCUGUUCAGAUAGACAUUUAACAUUCUUGAAGUAAAAUAACUAAAUCAGAGGAGAGUACCUCAAAUACCCUGUGAAACUCUGGUUAGAUCAGAUGUGUGGGAAGUGUUGAUCCUAUGAAAAAUAAGACAUGUCCCCUUACAGACUGUAACUGAUUGGCUGCUGGAUAGGACAGUAAUUCUGAUUGCUUUCUCUUUUGUUAUCUUAAUAUUUUCUUUCCAUUUGGCAGCCAGUCUGAUAAAUAAAAAUCAGUUAUUGGCACAGACAUUAUCAGAAUUAAUGGACAAGUUUUACAGAUGUGAUGAUAAUGCCAAGGAAUUAGCUUCAGUUCUAGUUUUCUUAACAGAAACUCCUAAGCAAACACAUGAUUACUAUUAAAAAACAUAAAUUUAACAAUCUAAAGGUGUGUCACUUUCUUCUUACAGUGAUUGAUCCAGAGUUGCUGAUACCUCAGCAGAAAUUUUGAACAAUAUUGGGCUAAAGAAAUAUAUGUAUUAGAUUUUCUGUCUUUAUUUCUUACAAGUUUGGGGGUUUUGGAUGAAGAGAAAAUUUUGCUUAGAAGCUUAGUAAUGUGUUUCUAUGUUUAUUCAUCAGGUAUUUUCAAAUUCAUCCCAAUGGCAACUCAUUGUGAGACAAUGUGAGUUAUUUUUAUGAUUUCAAAGUAGCAGCAGCAUUUAUCACUUCUGGUUCUAUCUGCAAUAGUUUAAAAGCUGUACUGGAACAUUGUACUUCUACAAGUCUUAACUCA